UGGCUCCCGUAUCGAUGAAGAACGCAGCGAAUUGCGAUAAGUAAUGUGAAUUGCAGCAUUUAGUGAAUCAUCGAAUCUUUGAACGCACCUUGCACUCCCUGGCCUUCCAGGGAGUAUGCCUGUUUGAGUGUCUUGAAAACCUCUUCAUCUCAUUUUUUGUGAUGUGGAUCUGCGCCUGCCGAUGGCUUGCGUUAAAAGCAUGAGCUGUGACCAGCGAAACGUCAUACAUUUCGUCAGCUGCGACCAGUCUCUCUUUACAUACUCUUUUUUCGACCUCAAAUCAGGUAGGAUUACCCGCUGA
RNAcentral lists this unclassified non-coding RNA (301 nucleotides) under uncultured fungus. RNAcentral describes it as "partial contains 5.8S ribosomal RNA and internal transcribed spacer 2". The stretch from base 1 to 133 matches the Rfam family "5.8S ribosomal RNA", at positions 22 to 154 of the family's 154-position model. The record is from RNAcentral. Lineage: Eukaryota; Fungi.